GCUCUCGGGUGCGCACCGCGGCGCGCUCGCACCGCUGGGCUCCUGAGCUCCUGGCUGCGGUGGCGGUCAGAACGCAGGGCUGAGCAAGCAUCUGGGAAAGGCAGCCGCAGCUCCCGUGCGCGGCCCCGCUUCCUGCCGCUACCCCAGCCCGGCUACCUCUUAGCCAUGGCUCUGGCGAACAGCACCCGUGGAUUACCCAACGGGGGUGGCGGGGGCGGUAGCGGCUCCUCAUCCUCCUCGGCGGAGCCGCCGCUCUUCCCCGAUAUCGUGGAGCUGAAUGUAGGGGGCCAGGUGUAUGUGACUCGGCGCUGCACGGUGGUGUCCGUGCCGGACUCGCUGCUCUGGCGCAUGUUCACGCAGCAGCAACCGCAGGAGCUGGCCCGGGACAGCAAAGGCCGCUUCUUUCUGGACAGAGACGGCUUCCUCUUCCGCUACAUCCUGGAUUACCUGCGGGACUUGCAGCUCGUGCUGCCAGACUACUUCCCCGAGCGCAGCCGGCUGCAGCGCGAGGCCGAGUACUUCGAGCUGCCCGAGCUCGUGCGUCGCCUCGGGGCGCCCCAGCAGCCCGGCCCGGGGCCACCGCUGCACCCAAGGCGCGGAGUGCAGAAGGAGGGCUCACUGGGAGACGAGCUGCUGUCGCUCGGCUACGCGGAGCCGGAGCAGCAGGAGGGUGCCUCGGCAGGAGCGCCGUCGCCCACACUGGAGCUGGCUAGCCGCAGCCCGUCCGGAGGCGCAGCGGGGCCGCUGCUCACGCCGUCCCAGUCGUUGGACGGGAGCCGGCGUUCGGGCUACAUCACCAUCGGCUAUCGCGGCUCCUACACUAUUGGGCGGGACGCGCAGGCGGACGCCAAGUUCCGGCGAGUGGCGCGCAUCACCGUGUGCGGCAAGACAUCUCUUGCCAAGGAGGUGUUCGGGGACACCCUGAACGAAAGCCGGGACCCCGACCGGCCCCCGGAGCGCUACACCUCGCGCUAUUACCUCAAGUUCAACUUCCUGGAGCAGGCUUUCGAUAAGCUGUCGGAGUCGGGCUUCCACAUGGUGGCGUGCAGUUCCACGGGCACCUGCGCCUUCGCCAGCACCGACCAGAGCGAGGACAAGAUCUGGACCAGCUACACCGAGAACUGAUCUUGCAGCUAAACGGACUGCUCAUAACACAGGACACUUCGUAAGUCACCGAACUUCCCUUGGCAGUUUAUUUUAACAUCUUUGCUGCAGAAGGGUGGACUGGCAGCACUUCCUCCAACAUGUCUGAGGCCCAGGGGAAGAGUGAAAAGGGAAGCUCACGACCCGAAUAUCGUUGUUGUCACAGUUCAAGGCCUUUCCUAUGGACACGUGGCUAGAACGUUUCUGCAUGUCCUGAACAUCUGUGACAGUGAAAGACACUUUUUCUUAGGGCCUUACGGUAGAUCCUAAAUUCCUUCAGGAGUGAUGCUUAAAUACACACGCUGUUCCAACACAAUCUCUAUUCUAGCCUAUACAUAAACAAUCUCUUGUCAAUACGGGUGUUCUGAAAAAUGACAAAAUCUUCCAGGUGUUUUUAAUUGACGUCCUUUGAAGACAAGCAAGAUAUUGCUGAGAGAACUUAAUUGCUCCAGUUUCAGGUUCCGCUAUUGAUAUCACUUCCUCAUAGGUGGUUGUCACCACCCAGGUGUAAAAAUAGAGACCGUUUCUCCUUCUUGGGCAACACCAAGGUCACUUUCCUAGCUUGUUUAUAGCUGUGCCAAGCCGAGCCCAAACACAUAAGUUAUGAUAAACGUGGAGAAUUUAGGGACUCAGAUGAUUUAUAGCUGAGACCAAGCAUUUAACUUUCUAGGCAUUGCCCAUAGUUCUACAUCUCUCUUCAGUCGGAAUUGGUCCAUCCUGCUUCUCGAACCCAUGGGCUUCAAAACAAUAGAGCCAUUGUUCUGACACCAGUGCCGUCUUUUCAGGUCCUCCUUGAACACUAAGUUCACCCCCUCCUGCAGCCAGCCUCCCUCUCAUUAUCUCCUCCGUCCCCCCUGGGAGCUGCAUGGUGGCGAAGGUGAGGGCAGGCCUUUCAUCCCAACGCCACCACUUGCUAAAAUGUGCCUUUGGGAAAAAUUCCCCAACCUCUCUGUCAGUUUCCUCGUUUAUCAAAUGGGGAUUAUAAUGCCUUCCGCACAUGGUGGUGGGAAGGAUUAAAUGACAUAAUGCAGGGAAGUACUUGGCAGAGAUCUGACAAAUGAAAGGUAACAGCAAAGGGUGUCUAUUGUCAUCAUCUUCCCUUUGUCCGAGUAAGAAGGGCCCAGACCUGCACAGAAUUUUUAUGAGUUCAUUUGAGCCAAACUGACCACAAUUGCUGGGGAGCGGAAUCUCAGCAGACUGAGAACAAUGUUCCUGAGAAUGGCACUUUUGCAGCUUAUUUUAUACAUUAAGAGGAAAGGAGACUUAAGGAGAGUUAAGUGAGAGCCACGGGUGGUAAAUCAGGAGGCAGGAGAAAUCAAAGUGAGGGAAAUCUCUGGGACUGGAUUAAAAAGCAAAAUGGAGAGACACAUACUUCUUUUACAUUGGCGGCUGCAGGAUGGUUAGCAAUGAACAUUUACAGUACAAAGGGAUGGUAUUUGGGGCACAAGAUGGCAAUGAGGGGUUCUGUGAUCUCAUGUUCUGGGGGGAGAUUGUGUCUUGAGGGAAAAGGAGGUCACUGACAUCGCAAAGGUGUGUUAUCUUAGAUGCAAAGAGAUGAUAGAGAGGCUCACUUAAGGCACAGACUGACUUUGUCAAGAAACCUACAGGC
Molossus molossus (Pallas's mastiff bat) is the source of this 2752-nucleotide RNA transcript. It is a transcript of the gene named potassium channel tetramerization domain containing 12, with no coding region annotated. The transcript has 3 exons. NCBI's taxonomy places the organism in Eukaryota, Metazoa, Chordata, Mammalia, Chiroptera, Molossidae. The record is from RefSeq and is a predicted model, not a curated record.